AUCGCUUCUCGGCCUUUUGGCUAAGAUCGAGUGAAGAAUCUUUUAUUCUCAGACAACUAUUGUUUUUUAAAUUAUAUUUUUUAAUUUAU
RNAcentral lists this small nuclear RNA (89 nucleotides) under Mus musculus (house mouse). RNAcentral describes it as "U2 spliceosomal RNA". It matches the Rfam family "U2 spliceosomal RNA", at positions 1 to 113 of the family's 192-position model. Rfam says of the family: U2 is a small nuclear RNA (snRNA) component of the spliceosome (involved in pre-mRNA splicing). Complementary binding between U2 snRNA (in an area lying towards the 5' end but 3' to hairpin I) and the branchpoint sequence (BPS) of the intron results the bulging out of an unpaired adenosine, on the BPS, which initiates a nucleophilic attack at the intronic 5' splice site, thus starting the first of two transesterification reactions that mediate splicing. Lineage: Eukaryota; Metazoa; Chordata; Mammalia; Rodentia; Muridae. The record is from Rfam by way of RNAcentral.